GUCAACAGUCCCCCUAAAGUGAGCGUCCUGCCGCCGUCCAGUGAAGAGAUUUCCACAAAGCAAGCAGCAACACUGAUGUGUGUGGCCAACAAGGGCUUCCCCUCAGACUGGAGUCUGAACUGGAAGGUGGACGGGAUCAGCAGCAGGUCUCAGUACAGCAGUGUUGCUCUCCUGGAGAAGGACGGUCUGUACAGCUGGAGCAGCAGUCUGACUCUCUCUGAGCAGGAGUGGAGCUCAGUGAUCUCAGUCAGCUGUGAGCUCACACAGAAAGACCAGCGUGAUAAAGUCACUGGAGAAUUGAGGAGAGAUCAGUGUUCACAGUAGAUCCACUCACUCUCUCCUCUGUCUCACAUCAAGACUAACAGACUAACUGUGUUUCUCUCUCUCAUCUCACAUCUCUUUUCACAAACAACACAAGUCUAUGUCUGCUUUAUUCAUUCACUCAUGAUUGUGUGACAAUUCAUCAAAUAAAAUCAUAUUCUAUCUUUA
Molecule: non-coding RNA, 489 nt
Organism: Misgurnus anguillicaudatus (oriental weatherfish)
Lineage: Eukaryota; Metazoa; Chordata; Actinopteri; Cypriniformes; Cobitidae
Source: the annotation of a RefSeq genome assembly